AACGCGAAGAACCUUACCCAGGCUUGAACUGCAGACGACAUCCCACGAAAGUAGGCUUCCGCAAGAACGUCUGUAGAGGUGCUGCAUGGCUGUCGUCAGCUCGUGUCGUGAGAUGUUGGGUUAAGUCCCGCAACGAGCGCAACCCUUGUCUUCUGUUGCCAUCGGGUCAAGCCGGGCACUCUGAAGAGACUGCCGGUGACAAACCGGAGGAAGGUGGGGAUGACGUCAAGUCAGCAUGGCCUUUAUGUCUGGGGCCACACACGUGCUACAAUGGCCGGUACAAACCGCUGCGAACUCGCGAGAGGGAGCCAAUCGGAAAAAGCCGGUCUCAGUUCGGAUUGGAGUCUGCAACUCGACUCCAUGAAGUUGGAAUCGCUAGUAAUCGCAGAUCAGCACGCCGCGGUGAAUACGUUCCCGGGUCUUGUACACACGC
This 433-nucleotide ribosomal RNA is filed under the name uncultured bacterium. Its description in RNAcentral is "bacterial SSU rRNA". It matches the Rfam family "Bacterial small subunit ribosomal RNA", at positions 958 to 1393 of the family's 1533-position model. The record is from RNAcentral.